This 496-nucleotide ribosomal RNA is filed under the name uncultured bacterium. RNAcentral's name for it is "partial 16S ribosomal RNA". It matches the Rfam family "Bacterial small subunit ribosomal RNA", at positions 29 to 507 of the family's 1533-position model. The record is from RNAcentral.
AUGAACGCUGGCGGCGUGCCUAAUACAUGCAAGUCGAGCGAACAGACGAGGAGCUUGCUCCUCUGACGUUAGCGGCGGACGGGUGAGUAACACGUGGAUAACCUACCUAUAAGACUGGGAUAACUUCGGGAAACCGGAGCUAAUACCGGAUAAUAUAUUGAACCGCAUGGUUCAAUAGUGAAAGACGGUUUUGCUGUCACUUAUAGGUGGAUCCGCGCCGCAUUAGCUAGUUGGUAAGGUAACGGCUUACCAAGGCGACGAUGCGUAGCCGACCUGAGAGGGUGAUCGGCCACACUGGAACUGAGACACGGUCCAGACUCCUACGGGAGGCAGCAGUAGGGAAUCUUCCGCAAUGGGCGAAAGCCUGACGGAGCAACGCCGCGUGAGUGAUGAAGGUCUUCGGAUCGUAAAACUCUGUUAUUAGGGAAGAACAAAUGUGUAAGUAACUAUGCACGUCUUGACGGUACCUAAUCAGAAAGCCACGGCUAACUACGUG